UACGGAGGGUGCAAGCGUUAUCCGGAUUCACUGGGUUUAAAGGGUGCGUAGGUGGGCAGGUAAGUCAGUGGUGAAAUCUCCGGGCUUAACCCGGAAACUGCCAUUGAUACUAUCAGUCUUGAAUACCGUGGAGGUAAGCGGAAUAUGUCAUGUAGCGGUGAAAUUCGUAGAUAUUAGCAGGAACACCGGUGGCGAAGGCGGCUAUCUGGACGACAACUGACGCUGAGGCGCGAAAGCGUGGGGAUCAAACGGG
RNAcentral lists this ribosomal RNA (253 nucleotides) under uncultured bacterium. Its description in RNAcentral is "partial 16S ribosomal RNA". It matches the Rfam family "Bacterial small subunit ribosomal RNA", at positions 524 to 776 of the family's 1533-position model. The record is from RNAcentral.